This 253-nucleotide ribosomal RNA is filed under the name uncultured bacterium. RNAcentral describes it as "partial 16S ribosomal RNA". It matches the Rfam family "Bacterial small subunit ribosomal RNA", at positions 524 to 776 of the family's 1533-position model. The record is from RNAcentral.
UACGUAGGGGGCUAGCGUUGUCCGGAAUCAUUGGGCGUAAAGCGCGUGUAGGCGGUCCGGUAAGUCCGCUGUGAAAGUCGGGGGCUCAACCCUCGGAUGCCGGUGGAUACUGUCGGGCUUGAGUACGGAAGAGGCGAGUGGAAUUCCUGGUGUAGCGGUGAAAUGUGCAGAUAUCAGGAGGAACACCAAUUGCGAAGGCAGCUCGCUGGGACGUUACUGACGCUGAGACGCGAAAGCGUGGGGAGCAAACAGG